RNAcentral lists this non-coding RNA (253 nucleotides) under uncultured bacterium. RNAcentral's name for it is "partial 16S ribosomal RNA". It matches the Rfam family "Bacterial small subunit ribosomal RNA", at positions 524 to 776 of the family's 1533-position model. RNAcentral also lists the same sequence under 1 other name. The record is from RNAcentral.
UACGAAGGGGGCUAGCGUUGUUCGGAAUUACUGGGCGUAAAGCGCACGUAGGCGGACUUGUCAGUCAGGGGUGAAAUCCCGAGGCUUAACCUCGGAACUGCCUUUGAUACUGCAAGUCUUGAGGAUGAGAGAGGUGAGUGGAACUGCGAGUGUAGAGGUGAAAUUCGUAGAUAUUCGCAAGAACACCAGUGGCGAAGGCGGCUCACUGGCUCAUUUCUGACGCUGAGGUGCGAAAGCGUGGGGAGCAAACAGG